GUCUUCGCCUCCGUCGGAGCCAAGCCCGCGAGCCCCGUCGCCGCCGGUCUUCACCCCCGUGAUCUCGCCGUCGAGCUCCCCAACCACUCCUCUCCUCUUUGCUCCACUGAGAAGUUUUCGGCACUAAACAAUCUCCAGGUAAAUAUUAUUCUUGAUGUUUGAUCCAAUGGAAACUGAAGAGGGUUGCUCCCAUGUUGUUGAAGAACAAAUCUCUCAGUUAGAUAACUUAAUUGUGCCAAUUAUUCAUGAGCACUUAAAACCAAAAAUAGGAAUGACUUUCGACAAAUUAGAGGACGCUGAAAAAUUCUACAGAAAUUACGGAAAGGCUGGAGGUUUUGAUAUUCGUAAUAGCACAACAAAUUAUGGGAAGGAUAGAGAGUUAAUUUCUAAAAGUUAUGUUUGUUCGAAAGAAGGAGUGUUAAAGAGCAAAUCGAUGGAAAUUCGACGAUGUGGUACAAUUAGAACAAAUUGUAAGGCCUUGAUUCGCUUUAAAUUAGACAAGAACAUUGGCAUAUGGAGUGUCUACAAGUUCGUGGAAGAACAUAAUCAUACAAUUACUUCACCGAGUAGAACUCAUUUUCUAAGGGGAAACCGUGAGGUAACAAGUGCGAAGAAGACUUUGAUGAAGCAGUUUGGAGAGGUGAACAUUCCAACAAACAAGCAAAUGACCUUCUUUGAAAAUUCUAGCGGAGGUUUUCAUAGAAUUGGAUGCAUUGAGACCGAUGUGAGAAAUUAUGAAAGAGAUUUGAGAGAGGAGAGGCGCGGUCAUGAUGCACAAAUGAUGUUGGAUCAUUUCAAGUCGGAACAAGAGAAGAAUCCUUCAUUUUAUUAUGUUUAUGAAGUUGAUGAAGAGAAGCGCUUAACUCAUUGUUUUUGGGUGGAUGGCAUUGCUCGAAUGAAUUAUCAACACUUUGGCGAUGUUGUCUCCUUCGAUGCCACGCAUAACACAAAUCAAUAUGGCUUGGUAUUUGUGCCGUUUGUAGGCAUAAAUCACCAUUGGCAAAGUGUUUUUUUAGGAUGUGGCUUGAUCCCAAACGAAGAGGCGAAGUCUUUCGUAUGGUUGUUUAACAAAUGGAUUGAAGCAAUGGGUCAUCCUCCUUCGGGUAUGAUUACAGAUCAAUGUCUUGGCAUAUGUAAGGCAAUUGAAACAGUUUUUCCAGAAAUUCGGCACAGGUUUUGCAUUUGGCAUAUCUUGGACAAAGUUCCGGAGAAGUUGGGUAAAUGGGCUUAUAGAAUGGAAUUUAUGAAAUCUUUCAAAGAAAAUAUUUGGGACUCCGAGACUGCUAGCUCUUUUGAAGAGAAUUAGGUUUUAAUUCUUAAGAAAAAUGGAUUGGAAACGCAUGAUUGGCUAAAAGAUAUCUAUAAAAUUCGUGAAAAAUGGGCUCCGGUUUAUCAUAAACAACACUUUUGGGCUGGAAUGUCUAGCAGUCAAAGAAGUGAAGGGAUGAAUGCGUUGCUAAAAAUGCAUGUAUCAAGGAAAAAUUCACUUCAUGAUUUUGUGAUAAUCUUUCAGAGGGUCUUGGCGAGACAAAGAGAUGUGGAGCUUAAAGAAGAUCAUUGCACAGUGGAGAAAAAGCCAAAAUUGAAGACUUUGUGGUCAAUAGAAAAACAAAUAGCCCAAAUCUACACGAAAAAAAUCUUUUAUAUUUUUCAAGACGAGCUUCAACCUAGCUUAAUAAAUAACAUUGAGCUGGUAAAAGAAAAUGAAAGAGAAAGUACUUUCCAAUUGAAUUUUUGUGGUCAUGAUGAAAGAUUGAGACAUAUUAUAUAUUGCAAAACAACUAAAAUGGUCCGUUGUUCGUGUCUCAUGUUUGAAUUCAAGGGCAUUCCAUGCCGACAUAUCUUGGCAUAUCUUAAAAUCACCAAUCAUGGUGAGUUACCGGAGCAAUAUAUUCUAAGAAGAUGGUGCCGAAAUGUCAAAAAAGGGUUGUUCUUAGAGAUGGUAAUAUCAUUGGAGAUAAUGCCACAAUUAAUUUUGCUUCUCGUUUUAGUGAACUAAAUUGCUUAGCUAAUGAAAUGAUCGAAGAGGGGCUAUCUUCUAAUGACGCAUAUGAAUUAAUGCGUGAAAUGAUGAUGGAUGCUAUUAAUAAGGUGCAACGUUUGAAACUCGUCACUGAUGAAGAAAUUGGACAAGAUGUGGAAGCACAUUAUAUGAAUGCGGAGUGUUCUCCAAAUAUGGUUCAUGAACCAAGUCAAGGAAGAACAAAAGGAAGGCCUAAAGGGAAGAGGUUAAAGCCAUCGAGAGAGAUCCGCAAAUGCCGGCCUAGGAAAUGCAAAUUAUGUGGAAAGAGAGGACAAAAUCAUGAUAGCAGAAAUUGCCCUCUAAAGUUGUCAAGUGAUUCAAUGGAACAAGAUAAUAUUGAUGAAGCCAGUGAUGAUUUAGAAGAUUCCUGUGAGGAAGAUGAAGUUCUCACUAUUGCAUGAAGUUUGAUCAAGGUUGGUAGAGCAAAUCAUAACACUGUUGAUUGUCCUUCAGUAUCUGAUCCAAUGUUUUAAAGACGUUCAGUAUCUGAUCCAAUGUUUUGAGCUUGUAUAAUUAGACAAAAAAGGAGUGUUAAUGAGAUGGAUUUUGUCCUUCAGUCACCUGCUUUUUUCAUUUUAUUAUUAUUUUUUUCUUUGCUGCUUAUUUGGCUCCUAAUGUGUAGAUGUAGCAAGUAAAGCAACUGAUGAAUUAUGAGAAAUGUAGCCACGAAUGAUUUCCCCCUUGUUUACGAGAAAUUUAUGCA
Asparagus officinalis (garden asparagus) is the source of this 2726-nucleotide RNA transcript. RefSeq lists it as uncharacterized. The transcript has 5 exons. Lineage: Eukaryota; Viridiplantae; Streptophyta; Magnoliopsida; Asparagales; Asparagaceae. The record is from RefSeq and is a predicted model, not a curated record.